RNAcentral lists this transfer RNA (72 nucleotides) under Camelus dromedarius (Arabian camel). It matches the Rfam family "tRNA". From Rfam's summary of the family: Transfer RNA (tRNA) molecules are approximately 80 nucleotides in length. Their secondary structure includes four short double-helical elements and three loops (D, anti-codon, and T loops). RNAcentral also lists the same sequence under 1 other name. Lineage: Eukaryota; Metazoa; Chordata; Mammalia; Artiodactyla; Camelidae. The record is from Rfam by way of RNAcentral.
GAGGGGAUAGCUCAGUGGUAGAGCGUGUGCUUAGCUGCCAUGAGGUCCUGGCUUCAAUCCCCAGUCCCUCCA